Molecule: long non-coding RNA, 2441 nt
Filed under: Coffea arabica (coffee)
Lineage: Eukaryota; Viridiplantae; Streptophyta; Magnoliopsida; Gentianales; Rubiaceae
Description: long non-coding RNA (CARA_LNC006420)
Source: RNAcentral
CCAAAAAUUACAUAUCAUAAGCGAAGCGGAAACUAGUUAACUUACACAUACAUCCAUUCAAGUCCGAACGUUCAUACAAACCCUAAGUACAGCUAUUACACAAGAGGCAAUCCAAAAUUCAAACUGUACAAGAGAAAUCUAUCCAUUCCAAUUCAAACAGUCACCCUAGCCCAACUAAACAAAAUGAAUCCAAAUCUAAACUAUACAAGAUACAUGCCAUCCAGUCACACAAAUAACAUAAUACAAGCUCUUCGUUUGCCUCGUUCCCUAUGGAGGGGAAAAUAAAACAUUUGGAGUGAGCUAGAAGCUCAGCGAGUGAACAGUGAAAUCAAUAAUCAAAUAAGCUUUACAAUAGUGCAUUUAAAUGAUAUCAGGAAUUAGUGAUCAAAUGUGCGUAUAUUGCUCUUUGGAGCCAGUGAAAUUCUUGUACUUAAAUAUCCAACGUUCCCUUAGAUCAAGUAACAGAUAAACAGAAAUAAGGAGCCAUCGUGCUCCAAAGAAUGUGUAAUCAGUAGUGGAGAUGUUGGUUCUAAGCACAAGAUUUUCCCAAGAACUCAUCGGAGCCAAAAUAUCAUGGCACACACACAUACACAAUGAUAUGCAAUCGUGUAAUCAAUGCAAGAAUUAUUUCAAAAGUAUCUUUUGGAAAGUAGUGGAGGGAUCACUCACCCAAACACAGCUCAGGAACCAUCCAUCGUACCUCAUUGCCUUGCACAAGUCGAAGUCCUAAAUUACAAAUAUCAAGUCAAGCGGAGGAAUUCUAACAUUAUCAAGCUUCUAUUACCUUAGCAUUUUAAUCACAAUUGAAGCUACACUUAUCCGAUUGAAACAAAUCUUAUGGCGUUACGAAGCUAAGACAUAUACCAACAUUCCUUAUGAAGACUUCCAAAGUCAAAACGUACAAUUUUAUGGUCAAAUAUCGAAAUCUCGGAGAGGGCAGAAAACUGUCUGCAAAACAGAGUCUAUGGCCAGUCAGGGGUAGUUCAGUCAUUUCUCGGGCUACAGUGGUCCAAACGAUCUGAAAUUUUGCAGGUAGAUAGCUAACUCAUAUAUGCACAACUUUCAUGUUUUGAGCAAAAGCUGGUUCGGUCUAGAGCACAGAGAAAACGGCAGUCCAAAUUCAGUCCAGAAACAGGGAAAAACUGAAAUCACCCUUCUUGAACCAACCUUUGCAUAUAACCAUCACUAAUCACAAUUAAGGCUAAAAAUCCCCACUUAACAUGAGACUAGCCUAUACUAAUCAUGUACAUGCCAAAACAAGGAUGAAUUAACUUAGACCAAGUUGAGAAAUAUCACUAAUAUGGAACCUUAGCAGCCCAUCUUCCAAUUCAUAAGAAUUUCCAUAAAAUUCAUCAAGAUCAACUCAAACUCAUAACAAUCAAAGUUUGGACAGCACUUCUCCCUUAAUUUUCCUUAUUCCAUUGUAUAAUACAUCACCCAUGACAUUUCAAUCAAUCACAAUUAUACAUGUAACUCACAAGCCAUUAACUACAUCUAAUUAGGGUCUCCAUACCCUUCAUAUAUAGUCACAUAAAAGCUCAACAACCAACCAUAAUAAAAACCCCCAAUUCAAAACCCUAAAAUCGAAAUUUAUUCCCACAAGCGUAAAUUUUCCGUAGACGAUCGUAAUUAACGCACAAAGGCUCCAUUUCACAACAUAUUAAACUACCAUUCCAUGACUAACCAACAAUAACCAAAUAAAAUCAGAAAAUUCCCCAAUAAAUCAGAAAUUGGUCCAAUUCUACUUAAAAUCAGGAAAUCAUCCACAAAUAGCAUAUAUAACAUCCCUAAUCCACCUUAACGCUAAGAUAACUUCUACUAAUCAGACACAUACCAAAUCAAGGAUGAAAUAACUUAAAUAAAAUCUAGAAAUUAGCAAAUGUCAUCAUCUCACUUCUAAAUCACAAAAAUAACAAUAACUCAUCAAGAUCAAUAGCUUAAUCACAAGAUUUAUAGCAAAAAGAAGGCCUCUAAGGAUGAUACCUUUCAACACCUUGAACAAGCAAAAACAAACCCUUUUUCUUCCCAAAACUUUCCACCCUUAGCUUGCUAUCACCUUGCAUGUGAAGUUAAUCGGAGUAGAUUAUCGAAAUUAGAAGAAACCCCUCAAGAUUGAUGAAGGAAAUCAAAGGAAGAGAAAAGGAUUUUCUCUCUUGUUUUUGCUCCCCAAGAGGCUCGGUCAAUUGGAAAUGAAGAAAAAUGGGUUUUGAACCCCUCAAAUAUAGCCAAAAGUGAAGACUUAAUCGCUAAGAAAAGCUGACCACGACAGAAUCUGGCCGGAUUUCCGGCCGGAUUCCUGGCAGGAUUCAGGCCAGAGACGAAAGCCCCUUUUUUUUCAAAAUGCACAACCAAUCCAGCCGGCAAUCCGGCCAAGAACUGGCCGGAUUUGCGGCCGGAUUUGGUCCUGCCAAGUUCCAUCAAAUUUUCCUCGUUUCAUUUCC